This 502-nucleotide ribosomal RNA is filed under the name uncultured Glomus. Its description in RNAcentral is "SSU rRNA". It matches the Rfam family "Eukaryotic small subunit ribosomal RNA", at positions 569 to 1074 of the family's 1831-position model. The record is from RNAcentral. Lineage: Eukaryota; Fungi; Glomeromycota; Glomeromycetes; Glomerales; Glomeraceae.
AGCAGCCGCGGUAAUUCCAGCUCCAAUAGCGUAUAUUAAAGUUGUUGCAGUUAAAAAGCUCGUAGUUGAAUUUCGAGAUCAAAUUGUUGGUCGUGCCUCGGUACGUACUGGCAUUAUUGAUUUCUCCCUUCUGAAGAACCACGAUGUCAUUAAUUUGGUGUCGUGGGGAAUCAGGACUGUUACUUUGAAAAAAUUAGAGUGUUUAAAGCAGGCUCACGCUUGAAUACAUUAGCAUGGAAUAAUGAAAUAGGACGUUUGAUUCUAUUUUGUUGGUUUCUAGGAUCGACGUAAUGAUUAAUAGGGAUAGUUGGGGGCAUUAGUAUUCAAUUGUCAGAGGUGAAAUUCUUGGAUUUAUUGAAGACUAACUACUGCGAAAGCAUUUGCCAAGGAUGUUUUCAUUAAUCAAGAACGAAAGUUAGGGGAUCGAAGACGAUCAGAUACCGUCGUAGUCUUAACCAUAAACUAUGCCGACUAGGGAUCGGAUGAUGUUAAUUUUUAAUGA